GAUCUCUUGUGGACCGUCACUUGGUGUGAUAAUUAUCUAUGCCAUCUGACUUUGAAGCAAAUUUUAUGGGAACCUGCUUAUAACCGUCUCUCGCAGCAAUGCGGAUUGGGGGUCUGAGUCCUUGAUUGGGCACUUCCCUCGUCGGACAACUCUCUUAACAUUUUGACCUCAAAUCAGGUAGGACUACCCGCUGAACUUAA
RNAcentral lists this unclassified non-coding RNA (200 nucleotides) under soil metagenome. RNAcentral's name for it is "partial contains internal transcribed spacer 2 and large subunit ribosomal RNA". The record is from RNAcentral.